UAGGGAAUCUUCCGCAAUGGACGCAAGUCUGACGGAGCAACGCCGCGUGAGUGAAGAAGGUUUUCGGAUCGUAAAACUCUGUUGUUAGAGAAGAACAAGUGCUAGAGUAACUGUUAGCGCCUUGACGGUAUCUAACCAGAAAGCCACGGCUAACUACGUGCCAGCAGCCGCGGUAAUACGUAGGUGGCAAGCGUUGUCCGGAUUUAUUGGGCGUAAAGCGAGCGCAGGCGGCUCCUUAAGUCUGAUGUGAAAGCCCCCGGCUCAACCGGGGAGGGUCAUUGGAAACUGGGGAACUUGAGUGCAGAAGAGGAGAGUGGAGUUCCAUGUGUAGCGGUGAAAUGCGUAGAUAUAUGGAGGAACACCAGUGGCGAAGGCGACUCUCUGGUCUGUAACUGACGCUGAGGCUCGAAAGCGUGGGUAGCAAACAGGAUUAGAUACCCUGGUAGUCCACGCCGUAAACGAUGAGUGCUAAGUGUUGGAGGGUUUCCGCCCUUCAGUGCUGCAGUUAACGCAUUAAGCACUCCGCCUGGGGAGUACGACCGCAAGGUUG
This 550-nucleotide ribosomal RNA is filed under the name uncultured bacterium. Its description in RNAcentral is "bacterial SSU rRNA". It matches the Rfam family "Bacterial small subunit ribosomal RNA", at positions 355 to 896 of the family's 1533-position model. The record is from RNAcentral.